Anolis carolinensis (green anole) is the source of this 1329-nucleotide long non-coding RNA. RefSeq lists it as uncharacterized. The record is from RefSeq and is a predicted model, not a curated record. The transcript is spliced from 2 exons. NCBI's taxonomy places the organism in Eukaryota, Metazoa, Chordata, Lepidosauria, Squamata, Anolidae.
GCCAUCAGGGGUCCAGGUUAACAUUACCUUAAAUAUGCUGUGUAAUAAUAAUAAUAAUAAUAAUAAUAAUAAUAAUAAUAAUAAUAAUAACAACUAUAACUUUAUUUUUAUACCCCGCCCCAUCUCCCUGAAGGGACUUGGAGCGACUUACACGGGGCCAUGCCCAACACAACAAUACAAUAACAGUAGUAAGACAAUAGAACAAAAUUGCAUCAAUAAAACUUCAACAUCAAUAAAACAGUCAUAAAAGUCAGCAAACAAUAUAAAAUGUUAAAAACGGGAGGCUAAAACAUGGAUCUAGGCCAAAAUGCAGAAAACUUCACAUAGGAGAGGUAGUUUCAGAGGUAAAAUAUUCAAUAAAGUGCAAAGUAGCAAGUAAUAGUGGCCAGGCAUCUUAUUGUAGAGUGGGCAGAUAGAUCAAACCUACAAUGAUCAAUCCUCGAAGGCCGUGUAGUCCUGGAAGUUAUAGUUUUACAAAGUUUUUCAUUGUCUCUCUCAUUGUCAUUUUAAUAUAUUGGGUUUAUGGUUCCCAUCCCCUUGAUCUGGUCAUGUAAGUGUGAUUUAUUGUUAUAAUUGUAUUAUUUUACUUUGUUUAAUAAUGUGUAUUAUGUUGUUAUGUAAUGUUUGUGUUGCUUUUAUGACUGUAAACCGCCCUGAGUCCCAUCCGGAAGAUAGGGCGGUAUAUAAAUAAAGUAUUAUUAUUAUUAUUAUUAUUAUUAUUAUUAUUAUUAUUAUUAUUAUUAUUAUAAAGAGGGCCCAACUAUAGCUCCCAGGAUCCAAAACUGCAUUAAUUCCACAGUAUGGAUGCUCUAUAGGUCUAUUGGAUCCAUCCAGGAAUAACUCCACUGGACGAUUGCGAAUCAUAAUUCUCUGCAAGCGCUCGAUAAAUAAUCCCCGGGGGAUAUUUGAUUAUGCAAUUCCGUUUAUGAUAUCAAAAGGCGCUUAAUUGUCAUGGCGGCGGAGGCUCUCAUUGUGAUAAAAGCACGGCCACAUGCUUUCUGUGCCAUUAAUGCCUCUUUCCCAUAGGCUCGCACACGCGGCUGUGCAGACGGCUACCUGAGGGGACCUUUUCCUCUGCAAUCCUUGGGAAGGAAGAUUGGCAGCCUUGAUCUUGCAAUUGGUCCAAAAUCAACUUCAAAGUGCAAAAUAGUUUGGACUCCAUUCAUUGCAUUGCUGGACAUGCCUAACACGGAGGUUGCUGUGACAUUGCAGAAGGAAGAGCUUUGCAUUCUAGUGACUAAAUGUGCUAUUUUCCAACAAGAAACACAGUUGAACCAUGUACUUGUACCACCAGCUGUGCAUCCCUCCAUUAAAAACCUUAAAGCUGGA